CCUACGGGUGGCAGCAGUGGGGAAUAUUGGACAAUGGGGGGAACCCUGAUCCAGCCAUGCCGCGUGUGUGAAGAAGGCCCUCGGGUUGUAAAGCACUUUCAGUGAGGAAGAACGCCUGGUGGUUAAUACCCAUCAGGAAAGACAUCACUCACAGAAGAAGCACCGGCUAACUCCGUGCCAGCAGCCGCGGUAAUACGGAGGGUGCGAGCGUUAAUCGGAAUUACUGGGCGUAAAGCGCGCGUAGGUGGCUUGAUAAGCCGGUUGUGAAAGCCCCGGGCUCAACCUGGGAACGGCAUCCGGAACUGUCAAGCUAGAGUGCAGGAGAGGGAGGUAGAAUUCCCGGUGUAGCGGUGAAAUGCGUAGAGAUCGGGAGGAAUACCAGUGGCGAAGGCGGCCUUCUGGACUGACACUGACACUGAGGUGCGAAAGCGUGGGUAGCAAACAGGAUUAGAUACCCUGGUAGUC
This 465-nucleotide ribosomal RNA is filed under the name Vreelandella stevensii. RNAcentral describes it as "partial 16S ribosomal RNA". It matches the Rfam family "Bacterial small subunit ribosomal RNA", at positions 338 to 795 of the family's 1533-position model. The record is from RNAcentral. Lineage: Bacteria; Pseudomonadati; Pseudomonadota; Gammaproteobacteria; Oceanospirillales; Halomonadaceae.